This 465-nucleotide ribosomal RNA is filed under the name uncultured bacterium. RNAcentral describes it as "partial 16S ribosomal RNA". It matches the Rfam family "Bacterial small subunit ribosomal RNA", at positions 28 to 507 of the family's 1533-position model. The record is from RNAcentral.
GACGAACGCUGGCGGCGUGCUUAACACAUGCCAGUCGAACGGUAAGGCCCCUUCGGGGGUCCACGAGUGGCGAACGGGUGAGUAACACGUGAGCAACCUGCCCUUGACUCUGGAAUAACAGUUGGAAACAGCUGCUAAUACUGGAUAUUCAUCGUCUCCUUCCUGGGGGGUGGUGGAAAGCUCCGGCGGUCAGGGAUGGGCUCGCGGCCUAUCAGCUUGUUGGUGAGGUAAUGGCUCACCAAGGCUUCGACGGGUAGCCGGCCUGAGAGGGCGACUGGCCACACUGGGACUAAGAUACGGCGCAGACUGCUACGGGAGGCAGCGGGGGGGAAUAUUGCACAAUGGGCGCAAGCCUGAUGCAGCAACGCCGCGUGCGGGAUGACGGCCUUCGAGUUGUAAACCGCUUUCAGUAGGGACGAAGGGUGACUGACGGUACCUACAGAAGAAGGACCGGCUAACUACGUG